GCCCCCAUAGCUCAGUUGGUAGAGCACCUGACUCUUAAUCAGGGUGUCCUUGGUUCGAUCCCUAGCGCGGGCA
Molecule: transfer RNA, 73 nt
Filed under: Candidatus Omnitrophota bacterium
Lineage: Bacteria; Pseudomonadati; Candidatus Omnitrophota
Description: Candidatus Omnitrophica bacterium tRNA-Lys
Rfam family: tRNA
About the family: Transfer RNA (tRNA) molecules are approximately 80 nucleotides in length. Their secondary structure includes four short double-helical elements and three loops (D, anti-codon, and T loops).
Source: RNAcentral